RNAcentral lists this non-coding RNA (88 nucleotides) under marine eukaryotic metagenome. RNAcentral describes it as "Purine riboswitch". The stretch from base 12 to 88 matches the Rfam family "Purine riboswitch aptamer", at positions 18 to 94 of the family's 102-position model. Rfam says of the family: Riboswitches are metabolite binding domains within certain messenger RNAs that serve as precision sensors for their corresponding targets. Allosteric rearrangement of mRNA structure is mediated by ligand binding, and this results in modulation of gene expression. A class of riboswitches that selectively recognises guanine and becomes saturated at concentrations as low as 5 nM. The record is from RNAcentral.
AAAGAAGGUUGGUACUAUAUAUGAUCGGAAAUAGGGUUCGAUUGUCUCUACCCUGACACCUUAAAUGUCGGGACUAUGGUACGUAAUA